GCCGUCAUGGUGGAACUGGUAUACACACUUGCCCAAGGAGCAAGCGCGAAAGCAUGUGGGUUCGAAUCCCACUAACGGCA
This 80-nucleotide transfer RNA is filed under the name Enterocloster bolteae. Its description in RNAcentral is "tRNA-Leu". It matches the Rfam family "tRNA". Rfam says of the family: Transfer RNA (tRNA) molecules are approximately 80 nucleotides in length. Their secondary structure includes four short double-helical elements and three loops (D, anti-codon, and T loops). The record is from RNAcentral. Lineage: Bacteria; Bacillati; Bacillota; Clostridia; Lachnospirales; Lachnospiraceae.